UCCGGUUUGGCACCGGCAGUCUCCCUAGAGUUCCCGGCAUCACCCGCUGGCAACUAAGGACAGGGGUUGCGCUCGUUGCGCCACUUAAGGCAACACCUCACGGCACGAGCUGACGACAGCCAUGCACCACCUGUGCAGGCUCCGUAGAGCGCCGGCUUUCACCGGCUUUACCCUGCAUGUCAAGCCCAGGUAAGGUUCUUCGCGUCGCAUCGAAUUGAACCACAUGCUCCGCUGCUUGUGCGGGUCCCCGUCAAUUCCUUUGAGUUUUAGCCUUGCGGCCGUACUCCCCAGGCGGGGUGCUUAACGCGUUAGCUGCGGUACUGGGGGGGUCAAUACCCCCAACACCUAGCGCUCAUCGUUUACGGCGUGGACUAC
This 375-nucleotide unclassified non-coding RNA is filed under the name uncultured Actinomycetes bacterium. RNAcentral's name for it is "uncultured actinobacterium contains 16S-23S intergenic spacer region". The record is from RNAcentral. Lineage: Bacteria; Bacillati; Actinomycetota; Actinomycetes.